AGAGCGAACGCUGGCGGCAGGCUUAACACAUGCAAGUCGAGCGCCCCGCAAGGGGAGCGGCAGACGGGAGAGUAACACGUGGGAACGUACCUUUCGGUUCGGAACAACCCAGGGAAACUUGGGCUAAUACCGGAUACGUCCGUAAGGAGAAAGAUUUAUCGCCGAAAGAUCGGCCCGCGUCUGAUUAGCUAGUUGGUGAGGUAACGGCUCACCAAGGCGACGAUCAGUAGCUGGUCUGAGAGGAUGAUCAGCCUCACUGGGACUGAGACACGGCCCAGACUCCUACGGGAGGCAGCAGUGGGGAAUAUUGGACAAUGGGCGCAAGCCUGAUCCAGCCAUGCCGCGUGGGUGAUGAAGGCCCUAGGGUUGUAAAGCCCUUUCGGCGGGGAAGAUAAUGACGGUACCCGCAGAAGAAGCCCCGGCUAACUUCGUGUCAGCAGCCGC
This 444-nucleotide ribosomal RNA is filed under the name uncultured bacterium. RNAcentral describes it as "SSU rRNA". It matches the Rfam family "Bacterial small subunit ribosomal RNA", at positions 26 to 518 of the family's 1533-position model. The record is from RNAcentral.